Molecule: long non-coding RNA, 301 nt
Organism: Alligator sinensis (Chinese alligator)
Lineage: Eukaryota; Metazoa; Chordata; Crocodylia; Alligatoridae
Exons: 3
Source: RefSeq, a predicted model, not a curated record
AAACAAGCAUGAAAUUGCCAAGUCCUCCUUGUUAGAACUUUGGAAAAAAAUGCUACCCGAUAUUAAGUCUCCUAAGCAGAAAAGAACAACUACUAAGCAUCCAGGUUAUUAAAGAAAAUGCUGAAUAAUGCCAGAUUGGGACAGACCCAUGCUGAACCGAAUUUGGCAUGGCAGAUGAGCGAAGCAGGUGGUUACCCCAGGAGCAGGGCGGCCGGUGAAGACCUGAUGAGGAGGACACCCUAUAACACUCUCUAUUACUGUUUAAAAAUGUUGAAAUUUCUUUCCCUUACAGUCAGUCUUG